CAUCGGCUGCGGGCCCCUCUGGCGGAGCGCGUUUUCAUGCCUCCGUGAUGUCGGAGCCGAUGC
This is a regulatory RNA element of Methylobacterium sp. Leaf399, 63 nucleotides long. It matches the Rfam family "terC RNA". The record is from Rfam. Lineage: Bacteria; Pseudomonadati; Pseudomonadota; Alphaproteobacteria; Hyphomicrobiales; Methylobacteriaceae.